CUACCUAGGACUAGCUGAAGAUUUUCUGUCAAAGACUGUGAUCUUUGGGCUGUGCCACGGAAGCUCAUGGUACCAUCUACAUUUUUGGCACAAGAGAACAGAUGUGCAGAAAUACUUCGCAUCCUCAACUCUGCUUGAGGUCUGUGCACCUCUGAAAAUCAGGACAGACGCCUUUCAGAAGCUGUGCAUCUUCACAUCAUCUCCAUUAUAUGCACAGGCCUUAAAAAUACCCUGCAGUCUAUGAGCCUACUUGCCCUGGUCAUGGACCUCAUUAUGCUACAAACACAGAACAAAAAGACAAUCCCCAUCAAAAGGAGUUUUCAACCUCCAGGUUUCAAGCUCUGUGGGAACUGGAGUUAUUCUUUCCCAUGAGAUUUUCCAUGCCAAGUACCAUGGAGACCUGUUCCAGAAAGCUCACUGAAGUCAGGGGAAAGACUCCAGUUGACCUCAAGUGGCUGUGUAUCAAAUCCUGGAGGCCUUUGCACACUGGUAUAAAGUGAAUAAUAAAUGUUUUAAGAGCAUAUGGUCCUAUGUCAUGAGCAAAACCUUAGACUAAUAUGCCUUAACAAUAAGCUUUGUUCCCUAGUUGUCAUACAGUUGUCCAUUGUAUGUAGAUAGCUAUCCAAGGAUACAUCUACACUACAGAGAACAACCAAAGCUGCUACUGUCAAUCUUCCAGGGUUCAAAUUAGAUCAGUGUUUCUUAAACUGCGCUCCGUGGCACACCGGUAUGCUGCGGAGAACAAUAGAAUUCAAAAUGGCCACCCUAAAAGGGGCAGGCGACCUUUUUUUUUUCUCACUAAUUUUUCCCCAAGCCUGUGUUCUUCAUAACAAAAAAUUAUUGUUUUGUGUUCCUCUGUCUUAAAAAGUUUAAGAAACACUGAAUUGGACGGUCUAGUGAAGACAGCAAAUUCUAACUAAGAGUAGCACUCUGGGCGAUGCCAGUUGUCCUGCUUCCAUGAGGGGGAAGGGAAGUUGAAGCGAGAGUGUUCUUACUUUGACUUCCUGCGGUGUGGACAGCACCAAAAGUUAAGGUAUUUCGACAUCAGCUACGCAAUUAAUGUAGCUGAAUUUGUUUAUCUUAAUUUGACUUUAUGCUGUAAUGUAGACAUACCCCAAUUGCUUAGCCAUUUCCUUGGGGAAAGAUCUGAAUAAGCAGAUACAUUUCUCUGCCCAUUUUGUGGUAGGUGAGAUCUACAGUUCUGUAUUCACAAUACAUUUAUCCCAUUCUCAGAUUAAGCCUGCAGGAAGGGUCAUCUGGUGGGAUGGAACCUGAGACAACUGGGUUUAAAAAUUUGAUUGCUGGAAUUAAAGGAUUAAAUCUAAACAUUUAAAAGCAGUAGCAGACUCAAACUUCUAGAAGGGUGCUUGGUCCUGCUGUGAGGGCAGGGGACUGGACUUGAUGACCUCUAGAGGUACCUUAAAGUUCUAGCGAUCUAUGAAAAUGUUGUACUGUAGUAAUGUGGGUUAUUUGAUUAUGCCUGGGGCAUAAAAUUCCUGCAAAGGCUUUACUCAGAGAAUUCUGAAUUAUUCUCCUAUGUAAGGGUCUGCAGGAUUUACUACUCUUCACUCCUCCCACUCUUUUAAAAUUCCUUCUUUCCUCCAAGUGAUUUUCUGUCCUGCACGAUGAAUUCCAUUGAAUAAUACUGGGUUCCUGUACAUUAAAAAUUAUCUCUGUCAAAAAGGAGAACUUGUUAAAGGGCUAGAACUGAUUGUAUUUCACAAUUUAAAAAAAAUAAUUUACCUUGUGUACAUUGAAACUGUGUGGUCUAAUGGUGAAUGCCACAAAGGGUAAUUGGAUUCUGUUCCCAGCUCUGCCAUUAAUAUGCUUUGUGAUUUGGGGCUAGUUGCUUUUUCUCUCUGUACCUGAGGUACUUCCACCCUUUCUCUGUCUUCUUUCUUUACAUGAUAUGGCGUUGAGAUCAGGGAAUGUCUCGUAUUCUAUGUAGAAGGCCCAGAACAGGGGACCCAGAGAAGGGGUAGUCUCCAGGUGCUAUCUCAAUGCAAUUCAUGAAAAUAUUAGGUACAUUAUUUAAGAAGCAAAUAUUCAUCAUAUUGUAUCUCUGUAGCACUCCAAACACCUAAAAUCUUCAGGAGUGAGAUGCUGAGCCUGAGAAAGAAAUAAGUGUCUAUUUACUCUGCAUUGGAUAGCAACCUGGCACCAAACAUUUUAUAACUUCAUUCAAUUUACAUGUAACAAAUUUAGCCUGCCAUAAACUAUGCAUGUGCCACUUUAAGUCCUUUUCUGUGCAUUAAACACAGCGUUUAGUCAAUGACUUGACACCUGCAACUUCUAUAAUCAGACACAAAUUAAUUAGCAUCAGUGUGUCAGGUAUUAAUUAGAAUAAUUGACUAAUGUCUUUCUAGUGGAACACUGCUUUUUGAUUAAUUUUAUGCACUUAGUGAAAUGGGAAAUGCAACCAUAAAGAUGCAGAAAGCCCCUGGAGGUCAUCUGCCUCCUUCUGCUAAUGUUAGUUUAUUAUACCCUUGAGUGCCUUCCCGGUCUAGUUUAAAACACUAGUGCAGUAUGGCUUCCACCAUUCCUCUGAGGUCUUCUCUGCCUCUAUGACUAGAGAUUGUCACUGGAAGUGGCUAUGAAAUGAAAGACGGUUACUCUAUGGCCUAUUGCACUGUCCACUUUUCUGAGAACUUCCCCUGAGUGUAACGCUAGCAGCCCCUUUUACCUCAAAGUGGCUGCCACCUGCAUAGAAGACACAAUCUCAUACAUAGACAAAUUCCAGUGGGACUGAGCCGUUCCUUCUUUAGGGGACUGAGUGUAGUUAGCUCCUAGCUACGUUCACUCCAAACCCUUGCUGAGAGUUAACUCUGCUUCCAGCCCAAGGCUGCAGUGUAACUGGGUCUCCAUGCCACUUGGAUAAAGGUCAAGUAGUGUCCCUUCCAGAAGGCACUAGAAGAAAGCCCUGCUCGCCCUCCGCAGGGCCAUGGUGAGGCAGUGCAGUGGGGUGGUAGAACUUGUUUGACCCACGUCUAUAACUGUGCCAUAACUGCAAACUUCAGCUGGGGCCUAAGCUCUCAGGUUAGCCUAGCCGGGAUGUGCGUGUUCCCACCACAGCGCCAUACCCAUGUUACUGCACCCUCACUCUUGCUGCACUCACCUGCCCAGUGCUGUGGGUCUCUGGGAUUCUUUUCCUGUUAGUUGUGUCAUUAUGGGAGCACUUUUGUCUGUUGAGGGAACUGGUGGAAAGGGCAUUGUUGGACUGUCAGCAUACCAGUGGUUUCACCAGUGACCUCACUGUAGGUCCAGCUCAGAUAAAAGUGGCCAAUGAAACCUAAAACCUGGGCAAGAUCUUGGGUUAACACUGCAGUGUAGACAUAC
This is a non-coding RNA of Pelodiscus sinensis (Chinese soft-shelled turtle), 3336 nucleotides long. The record is from RefSeq and is a predicted model, not a curated record. Lineage: Eukaryota; Metazoa; Chordata; Testudines; Trionychidae.